GUGGGGAAUCUUGCGCAAUGGGGGAAACCCUGACGCAGCAACGCCGCGUGGGUGAUGAAGGCCUUCGGGUCGUAAAGCCCUGUCAGGUGGAAAGAACAGUGGCGACGUAAAUAACUUCGCCAUUUGACGGUACCACCAGAGGAAGCACCGGCUAACUCCGUGCCAGCAGCCGCGGUAAUACGGAGGGUGCAAGCGUUGUUCGGAAUUAUUGGGCGUAAAGCGCGUGUAGGCGGUCGGGUAAGUCAGGUGUGAAAGCCUUUCGCUUAACGGAAGAAGUGCAUUUGAAACUGCUCGGCUUGAGUACGGGAGAGGAGAGUGGAAUUCCCGGUGUAGAGGUGAAAUUCGUAGAUAUCGGGAGGAACACCGGUGGCGAAGGCGGCUCUCUGGUCCGAUACUGACGCUGAGACGCGAAAGCGUGGGGAGCAAACAGGAUUAGAUACCCUAGUAGUCC
RNAcentral lists this ribosomal RNA (451 nucleotides) under uncultured bacterium. RNAcentral's name for it is "bacterial SSU rRNA". It matches the Rfam family "Bacterial small subunit ribosomal RNA", at positions 354 to 796 of the family's 1533-position model. The record is from RNAcentral.